GAUGAACGCUGGCGGCGUGCCUAAUACAUGCAAGUCGAGCGAACGGACGAGAAGCUUGCUUCUCUGAUGUUAGCGGCGGACGGGUGAGUAACACGUGGAUAACCUACCUAUAAGACUGGGAUAACUUCGGGAAACCGGAGCUAAUACCGGAUAAUAUUUUGAACCGCAUGGUUCAAAAGUAAAAGACGGUCUUGCUGUCACUUAUAGAUGGAUCCGCGCUGCAUUAGCUAGUUGGUAAGGUAACGGCUUACCAAGGCAACGAUGCAUAGCCGACCUGAGAGGGUGAUCGGCCACACUGGAACUGAGACACGGUCCAGACUCCUACGGGAGGCAGCAGUAGGGAAUCUUCCGCAAUGGGCGAAAGCCUGACGGAGCAACGCCGCGUGAGUGAUGAAGGUCUUCGGAUCGUAAAACUCUGUUAUUAGGGAAGAACAUAUGUGUAAGUAACUGUGCACAGCUUGACGGUACCUAAUCAGAAAGCCACGGCUAACUACGUG
RNAcentral lists this ribosomal RNA (497 nucleotides) under uncultured bacterium. RNAcentral describes it as "partial 16S ribosomal RNA". It matches the Rfam family "Bacterial small subunit ribosomal RNA", at positions 28 to 507 of the family's 1533-position model. The record is from RNAcentral.